UGAUUGUCCAAACGCAAUUCUUGAUCGAUUUAAAAUAUUUCAAGGGUUGUGACUGGACAUCGUG
Molecule: microRNA precursor, 64 nt
Filed under: Bactrocera dorsalis (oriental fruit fly)
Lineage: Eukaryota; Metazoa; Arthropoda; Insecta; Diptera; Tephritidae
Description: microRNA bdo-mir-219 precursor
Gene: bdo-mir-219
Rfam family: mir-219 microRNA precursor family
About the family: The hairpin precursors (represented here) are predicted based on base pairing and cross-species conservation -- their extents are not known. In this case the mature sequence is excised from the 5' arm of the hairpin.
Source: miRBase by way of RNAcentral